UUAUGAAUUGAAUUAAUAUUACAAUGAAAAUGUAGUGUUUUUUUUUAAACUACAUUAGUAGAA
This 63-nucleotide transfer RNA is filed under the name Lyropaeus sp. UPOL A00574. RNAcentral describes it as "tRNA-Gln". Lineage: Eukaryota; Metazoa; Arthropoda; Insecta; Coleoptera; Lycidae. The record is from RNAcentral.